GACAGAGGGUGCAAACGUUGUUCGGAAUUACUGGGCGUAAAGGGCGCGUAGGCGGCCUGUUAAGUCGAACGUGAAAUCCCCGGGCUCAACCCGGGAACUGCGUCCGAUACUGGCAGGCUUGAAUCCGGGAGAGGGAUGUGGAAUUCCAGGUGUAGCGGUGAAAUGCGUAGAUAUCUGGAGGAACACCGGUGGCGAAGGCGGCAUCCUGGACCGGUAUUGACGCUGAGGCGCGAAAGCCAGGGGAGCAAACGGG
RNAcentral lists this ribosomal RNA (253 nucleotides) under uncultured bacterium. RNAcentral's name for it is "partial 16S ribosomal RNA". It matches the Rfam family "Bacterial small subunit ribosomal RNA", at positions 524 to 776 of the family's 1533-position model. The record is from RNAcentral.